GAAACGCAUAGGCAACGGACCGGAAGGAAUGGUGUGGUGCCUUCUUCCGCUGCAGUCAGCAAGGUCGGUCUAGUGCCCCCUACUGCAAAGCUUCGGUGCAGCGCAGGACUUCUGCUCCAGCAUAGCAACAAGCUGGAGCUAGAAGGCAGUGUGUUCCCUGAGAUAACAAGUCGGUAACUAGUCCAAUAACAAACAUUUGGGCUGGGACGAUAGCUCAGCGGCCCAGUGCCUGCCUGGAGGCGCCCAGCUCGGCAGCAGGCUCUGAUGGGUUCUCCAGUGAGGCUGAUCCACUCUUGGGAAGUGAGAUGGACCAACUGGGUGAUGCCCUCUAGUCAGAAAGAAUUGCUUUCAUGGAGUCCGGUGCAGCUCAAAGUAACCCUGCCUCCAAACUGUUCCCCUCUGUAUUUGCUUGCAUCUGGACCCUGGGCCGCAUCUGCAGCAAGAGGAGGUGAGGCAGGUUGUCUACAAAGUCUGGGGACUAAAUAAAAAGUGGAUGAAGACCAGAAGUCAUUCUCCAGACAGCUAAUAAAGCAUCGGUGCUUUUACAUUUGUGAGGCAUACAUCCUGUGACCUUUGAAAAUACCCAACUUUGCAAAUUCAAUUGUAAUAUGUAGUUGUCCCCUAAAAUGCAAUAAAGUAUAACUGAAUAUGUAACUGACCUCUUCACAUCAUUAAUGCUUUUAUGCAAAAGGAAUAAAGUAAUUUAGAAAGCUGUGAAAAUACCACCAUUGCUGAAACAUUCACAAAUCACUUUCACAGGUUUCUGCGCGUAUCCCGCCCUGUAACUGCCCGCGCUGUAUAUUAGAGUACCUGCCAAGCUUUCUAAUCCUUAUUCUAUCUGUACUAGCAUAUCAUAAAGUCACAGAAGGAUGUCAUUACUUCAGAAUAACAAGUCCGAU
Molecule: long non-coding RNA, 899 nt
Filed under: Chinchilla lanigera (long-tailed chinchilla)
Lineage: Eukaryota; Metazoa; Chordata; Mammalia; Rodentia; Chinchillidae
Description: lncRNA (ENSCLAG00000026147.1)
Source: RNAcentral